This 84-nucleotide transfer RNA is filed under the name Methanosarcinaceae archaeon. Its description in RNAcentral is "tRNA-Ser". It matches the Rfam family "tRNA". From Rfam's summary of the family: Transfer RNA (tRNA) molecules are approximately 80 nucleotides in length. Their secondary structure includes four short double-helical elements and three loops (D, anti-codon, and T loops). Lineage: Archaea; Methanobacteriati; Methanobacteriota; Methanomicrobia; Methanosarcinales; Methanosarcinaceae. The record is from RNAcentral.
GCCGAGAUAGUCUAGCGGUAGGGCGCAAGCCUGGAAAGCUUGUGGGGCGUCCGCCCCUCGGGAGUUCGAAUCUCCCUCUCGGCG